Molecule: ribosomal RNA, 468 nt
Filed under: uncultured bacterium
Lineage: Bacteria
Description: partial 16S ribosomal RNA
Rfam family: Bacterial small subunit ribosomal RNA
Source: RNAcentral
GACGAACGCUGGCGGCGUGCUUAACACAUGCAAGUCGAACGGAAAGGCCCUGCUUUUGUGGGGUGCUCGAGUGGCGAACGGGUGAGUAACACGUGAGUAACCUGCCCUUGACUUUGGGAUAACUUCAGGAAACUGGGGCUAAUACCGGAUAGGAGCUCCUGCUGCAUGGUGGGGGUUGGAAAGUUUCGGCGGUUGGGGAUGGACACGCGGCUUAUCAGCUUGUUGGUGAGGUAGUGGCUUACCAAGGCUUUGACGGGUAGCCGGCCUGGGAGGGUGACCGGCCACAGUGGGACUGAGAUGCGGCCCAGACUCCUACGGGAGGCAGCAGUGGGGAAUAGUGCACAAUGGGCGGAAGCCUGAUGCAGCAACGCCGCGUGCGGGAUGACGGCCUUCGGGUUGUAAACCGCUUUCGCCUGUGACGAAGCGUGAGUGACGGUAAUGGGUAAAGAAGCACCGGCUAACUACGUG